UUGUAUCGGUGCUUAUCAAUUUGAGGUU
RNAcentral lists this small RNA (28 nucleotides) under Bombyx mori (domestic silkworm). Its description in RNAcentral is "ovarian small RNA-38088". Lineage: Eukaryota; Metazoa; Arthropoda; Insecta; Lepidoptera; Bombycidae. The record is from RNAcentral.